UACGUAGGGUGCAGGCGUUAAUCGGAAUUACUGGGCGUAAAGCGUGCGCAGGCGGUCUGUUAAGAGAGAUGUGAAAUCCCCCGGCUUAACCUGGGAACUGCGUCUGAUACUGGGAGGCUUGAGUAUGGGAGAGGGAUGUAGAAUUCCAGGUGUAGCGGUGAAAUGCGUAGAUAUCUGGAGGAAUACCGGUGGCGAAGGCGGCAUCCUGGACCAUAACUGACGCUGAGGCGCGAAAGCUAGGGGAGCAAACGGG
RNAcentral lists this ribosomal RNA (253 nucleotides) under uncultured bacterium. RNAcentral's name for it is "partial 16S ribosomal RNA". It matches the Rfam family "Bacterial small subunit ribosomal RNA", at positions 524 to 776 of the family's 1533-position model. The record is from RNAcentral.